UACGUAGGGGGCUAGCGUUGUCCGGAUUUAUUGGGCGUAAAGAGCGUGUAGGCGGCCAGGUAGGUCUGCUGUGAAAACUCGAGGCUUAACCUCGAGAUGUCGGCUGAAACCAUCUGGCUAGAGUCCGGAAGAGGAGAGUGGAAUUCCUGGUGUAGCGGUGAAAUGCGCAGAUAUCAGGAAGAACACCCGUGGCGAAGGCGGCUCUCUGGGACGGUACUGACGCUGAGACGCGAAAGCGUGGGGAGCGAACAGG
This 253-nucleotide ribosomal RNA is filed under the name uncultured bacterium. Its description in RNAcentral is "partial 16S ribosomal RNA". It matches the Rfam family "Bacterial small subunit ribosomal RNA", at positions 524 to 776 of the family's 1533-position model. The record is from RNAcentral.